UUUAAUUGAAGAGUUUGAUCAUGGCUCAGAUUGAACGCUGGCGGCAGGCCUAACACAUGCAAGUCGAGCGGCAGCACAGAGGAACUU
Molecule: ribosomal RNA, 87 nt
Filed under: Vibrio cholerae
Lineage: Bacteria; Pseudomonadati; Pseudomonadota; Gammaproteobacteria; Vibrionales; Vibrionaceae
Also listed under: 2 other names
Description: partial 16S ribosomal RNA
Rfam family: Bacterial small subunit ribosomal RNA
Source: RNAcentral